ACGGCCACAUCACGUUGAAAUACGGAUUCCCGUACGAUCACCGAAGGUAAGCAACAUCGAGACUGGUCAGUAUCUAGAUGGGUGAUCACUUGGGAAUACCAGGUUG
This is a non-coding RNA of Acanthosepion pharaonis, 106 nucleotides long. NCBI's taxonomy places the organism in Eukaryota, Metazoa, Mollusca, Cephalopoda, Sepiida, Sepiidae. The record is from the annotation of a GenBank genome assembly.